UACGAACUGUGCGAACGUUAUUCGGAAUCACUGGGCUUAAAGGGUGCGUAGGCGGCUUGUUAAGUCAGGUGUGAAAUCCCCCGGCUCAACCGGGGAACAGCGCUUGAAACUAGCAGGCUGGAGUGAGGCAGGGGUGUGCGGAACUUCCAGUGGAGCGGUGAAAUGUGUAGAUAUUGGAAGGAACGCCGGCGGCGAAAGCGGCACACUGGGCCUUGUCUGACGCUGAGGCACGAAAGCUAGGGGAGUGAACGGG
RNAcentral lists this ribosomal RNA (253 nucleotides) under uncultured bacterium. RNAcentral's name for it is "partial 16S ribosomal RNA". It matches the Rfam family "Bacterial small subunit ribosomal RNA", at positions 524 to 776 of the family's 1533-position model. The record is from RNAcentral.